Molecule: ribosomal RNA, 253 nt
Filed under: uncultured bacterium
Lineage: Bacteria
Description: partial 16S ribosomal RNA
Rfam family: Bacterial small subunit ribosomal RNA
Source: RNAcentral
UACGGAGGGUGCGAGCGUUAAUCGGAAUUACUGGGCGUAAAGGGCUCGUAGGCGGCCAACUAAGUCAGACGUGAAAUCCCCAGGCUUAACCUGGGAACUGCGUCUGAUACUGGAUGGCUUGAAUUCGGGAGAGGGAUGCAGAAUUCCAGGUGUAGCGGUGAAAUGCGUAGAUAUCUGGAGGAAUACCGGUGGCGAAGGCGGCAUCCUGGACCGAGAUUGACGCUGAUGAGCGAAAGCUAGGGGAGCAAACGGG